UACGUAGGGGGCGAGCGUUGUCCGGAGUUACUGGGCGUAAAGCGCACGCAGGCGGUCUGCUAAGUUUGGAGUGACAGUUGGUGGCUUAACUGCCAAAGUGCUUCGAAAACUGACAGACUUGAGGGCUUCAGAGGGACACGGAAUUCCGGGUGGAGUGGUGAAAUGCGUAGAUAUCGGGAGGAACACCAGUGGCGAAGGCGACUUCCUGGCCUGUUCUUGACGCUGAGGCGCGAAAGCUAGGGUAGCAAACGGG
Molecule: ribosomal RNA, 253 nt
Filed under: uncultured bacterium
Lineage: Bacteria
Description: partial 16S ribosomal RNA
Rfam family: Bacterial small subunit ribosomal RNA
Source: RNAcentral